Molecule: ribosomal RNA, 877 nt
Filed under: Cortinarius sp. FS-2012a
Lineage: Eukaryota; Fungi; Basidiomycota; Agaricomycetes; Agaricales; Cortinariaceae
Description: LSU rRNA
Rfam family: Eukaryotic large subunit ribosomal RNA
Source: RNAcentral
UUCCCCUAGUAACUGCGAGUGAAGCGGGAAAAGCUCAAAUUUAAAAUCUGGCAGUCUUUGGCUGUCCGAGUUGUAAUCUAGAGAAGUGUUAUCCGCGCUGGACCGUGUACAAGUCUCCUGGAAUGGAGCGUCAUAGAGGGUGAGAAUCCCGUCUUUGACACGGACUACCAGGGCUUUGUGAUGCGCUCUCAAAGAGUCGAGUUGUUUGGGAAUGCAGCUCAAAAUGGGUGGUAAAUUCCAUCUAAAGCUAAAUAUUGGCGAGAGACCGAUAGCGAACAAGUACCGUGAGGGAAAGAUGAAAAGAACUUUGGAAAGAGAGUUAAACAGUACGUGAAAUUGCUGAAAGGGAAACGCUUGAAGUCAGUCGCGUUGUCCAGGGAUCAACCUUGCUUUUGCUUGGUGCACUUUCUGGUUGACGGGUCAGCAUCAAUUUUGACUAUUGGAAAAAGGUCAAGGGAAUGUGGCAUCUUCGGAUGUGUUAUAGCCCUUGGUUGCAUACAAUGGUUGGGAUUGAGGAACUCAGCACGCCGCAAGGCCGGGUUUUUAACCACGUACGUGCUUAGGAUGCUGGCAUAAUGGCUUUAAUCGACCCGUCUUGAAACACGGACCAAGGAGUCUAACAUGCCUGCGAGUGUUUGGGUGGAAAACCCGAGCGCGCAAUGAAAGUGAAAGUUGAGAUCCCUGUCGUGGGGAGCAUCGACGCCCAGACCAGACCUUUUGUGACGGAUCUGCGGUAGAGCAUGUAUGUUGGGACCCGAAAGAUGGUGAACUAUGCCUGAAUAGGGUGAAGCCAGAGGAAACUCUGGUGGAGGCUCGUAGCGAUUCUGACGUGCAAAUCGAUCGUCAAAUUUGGGUAUAGGGGCGAAAGACUAAUCGA